Microcebus murinus (gray mouse lemur) is the source of this 497-nucleotide RNA transcript. It is a transcript of the gene named proteasome assembly chaperone 4 pseudogene, with no coding region annotated. The record is from RefSeq and is a predicted model, not a curated record. NCBI's taxonomy places the organism in Eukaryota, Metazoa, Chordata, Mammalia, Primates, Cheirogaleidae.
CUCAGCGGCGGCGGCACUGGAGCAGCCGUACGCUGCGGCCGGGGCUGGCCUGGCGGCAUGGAGGGGCCGCCGGCGUCCGCGGCCGGGGACGUCUCCCUGCACAACUUCAGCGCCAGGCUGUGGGAGCAGCUCGUCCACUUCCACGUCAUGCGGCUGACGGACUCGCUCUUCCUGUGGGUGGGCGCCACGCCGCACCUGCGCAACCUCGUCGUGGCCAUGUGCAGCCGCUACGACUCCAACCCCGUGUCCACCUCCCUCCUUGGAGACACUUCUGACACGACUUCUACUGGCCUUGCCCAGCGCCUAGCCAGGAAGACCAACAAACAGGUGUUUGUCAGCUAUAACCUUCAAAACACAGACAGUAACUUCGCAUUACUUGUAGAAAACAGGAUCAAAGAAGAAAUGGAGACUUUUCCGGAAAAGUUCUAGCUGAGUGGCAAAAGUGAGAAUUUGUAACUUAUGUACAAUAUACAUUUAAAUAAAUGGAUUGGAUUUCA